Molecule: long non-coding RNA, 3216 nt
Organism: Vicia villosa (hairy vetch)
Lineage: Eukaryota; Viridiplantae; Streptophyta; Magnoliopsida; Fabales; Fabaceae
Exons: 3
Source: RefSeq, a predicted model, not a curated record
GCUUUUUUGAACAAACCCAAAACUGUUCCCAUUUCUAUCUUUCUUGAAAACCUAAAUAUACUGUUUCCUCUACUCAACAAGUCUUUUCAUUUCAUUACCUCAAAUAUCAAACAACUCUCUUUCCUAUCUUAGUCUGCCAUCUUUCUUAUUUCUCUAACCUAUCUUCAUUUUCCACCUUCCUCCGUCCUCAAUCUCUGCGUCUUCCGUUUUGAACGCUCCUGCUCUACAUGGCUCAACCGAUGGAGAAUAUGACGUGCAGAUGAAUAUGAUGUUGAUGGUGACGAUGAACACGUUGCUGAUGAUAUCGUGAUGUUGAUGAUCCAACGCUUCCAUGGUAGGGUUUUGAUUUCUUUUCCUGUGGUGGUCGGAGUUGAAUCGCAUACGACGAAGAAGACACCGAUUCUCCUCAGAUUUUAAAGGUUUUAUUUUUACUUUAUUGUUUUACAUUCAUUUUAAAAUCUCCAUAUCCUUCAGUUUUACCCUUUUCAGAUCUGUAACCGUUCAAUCGCAACAAUCCAGAGCGAUUCGUUGUACCGAACCUUUUCAGAUCCCCUUUUCAUAUUGUCACUACUAUCCAUAUCAUUGGUAAGUUUUUGUUACUAUGCUUUUAUUGAAUGUGUCUGAUUGUAUGGUUACCGUGAUGUGCGUUAGAUAUGCGAUGUUCGGUAUCACGGUGGUCGAUCUGCGGUGGCAACAACGUGUUUCCGUCAGUGACUGUGGUGGUGGGAUUUAUGGUGCCAUGGCUGUUGCGGGGAGUUUUAUAUGUUUGAUUACCAGAAUUAACUCUGUUGGAGGUUUUCAUCUUUUAAUAGAUGUUGUUCUUUAAGAACUUGGAUAUGUCGUUCCUCCAAUUAUUUACAAGUUUGUUUCGAUUUAGAAUCGAGUUUUGGUUUCUAUAACACCGGUUUGUCAUUUUAAAUUUAUUUAAAAGUCUGAUCACUAAUAGCAGAUUGAUAGACAGUGAUUGAAGGAUUUGCUAUUGAGGAAUGUUUGUUGAUAAAAUUUUACAUUGCAGGUUCAAGCUUUUUUGCUGCUUUUGAGAGGACGCGAUACGCCGGCAGGCAUGGCUACUGAUGAACUUCCAUUUAAUCAAACUUAUAGAGUAAAACACAUAAUGACUUUUCAGUUUUUUCUUCGUUCUUCUCCACACUAAUUAGUCUAUGAUGAAUUUGGCUUUAACUUGCUCUAAACUCUAUCACUACUACAAUAAUCAUAUAUGAUUGGAGAAUGGCUUUUCUUAUGAUUGAUAUAUAUCACAUUCAGUGUUAAUAUUUUGUUUGUGUUGAUGCAACCAUUUAAAGAUAUGAUAGAAGGAAUGAGAAUGGAUCUAAAGAAAUCAAGAUGCAAAACCUUUGAUGAAUUAUAUCUCUACUGUUGCUAGAACGGUUGGUUUAAUGAGUGUUCCAGUCACGGGAAUCUCAACGCAUUCGUAAGCCACAACUGAGAGUGUAUACAAUGCUGCCUUGGCUUUAGGAAUUGCAAAUCAGCUAACCAACCGACUCAGAUAUGUCGGAGAGGAGUAAGUUCAGAACUAUCAAUGUUUAUGUUCAAUUCAUAUCAUAAAUUUAAGAAAAAAAGUAAAUACUUAAAGACUGUGAAGUUUGAUAUGUAUACAAAAUAGAGUACUUUAAAUCAAUACGUAAGUCGUACCGUGAUAUUGGAUCUCUAUUGGCUUAACCAAAUCGCGCAACUGCCGCUCAAGGAGUUUGACAAGAUAAGUGACUAUAUUUUCUUGCAUACAAUAUUUUCUCGCUUUGGAACUGUAUCAUCGUGAGUAAUAAUGAACAAUUGACUUGGGUAGUUCAGACUGUGACUAUUACUACUCUUGAAUCCGACUUUUGGUAUUUAUUGAAUUCUCUCAUAUGAAUGUUUAAUCUCUUUUUAGGUGACUUGAUGCAUAUGGGACUGUUUUGAUGUUGCAGGAACCAGUUUUUUGGAGGACAACAUUGUGUAACUGAAUCGGUUUUGAAUUGCAGUACAAUUUGUUUAACUGCUUCUUUGUAUAAGCAGAAAAGCCCAUUAUGCUUAGAUGCUAAUAUUGGUCAAGGGGGUACAAUGCAUGGAAGAUGUGUGGCCUUGACAAAUCAAAAUUGAAUUUUAUAGGGUUCAUAUAUCUCCAUUCCCUGCAAUUUUUAUAGGAUUUGAGUUUAUUUAAUAAAAGUUGUUAGUUAUUCUAAAGGUUAGUAGUUAUAGUUAGGUUGUUAAUAGUUAAUAAUUACUUAUAGAAAGAUAUUAAAACUGUUACAGGGUUAUUGUUCUGUUAGGAUAUACCACAAUGCAGUGUGUGUUUGUAUGCAAAUAUAUGUGUGUAUGGUUCGCUUGGAUAUGUAUAACUGAAAAGUGUUUGUGAUAGUUUUAAUGUGAACUGAUUGUUUAAGGUCUAUUGGUUUUUUCUGUUAGUUGUAAUGUGUUUGUGAUUUUUUUAUUGUGAAUUGGAUCUUAUUUGAGUUUAUAUGUAUGUGAUGUGCAUGUAAGCUUUAUUGUUUCAAUAUCCACUGUGAGCAAUGCUAAAGGUACCGCGGUGUCGAGGAAUGUAAAAGGUAAGCUUUAUUGUUUCAAUGUCCACUGUGAGCAAUGCUAAAGGUAAGCUUUAAUAUAGAUAAAGCCAUUGAAAUUGUUUUAAUGUCCACUGUGAGCAAUGCUAAAGGUAAGCUUUAAUGUCUUCCAUGCCAUUACACUUUGUAGUUACUGUCUAAACAUCUUUUCUAUUGAAAGUAUCCAAAAGGAUAAAAGGCUAUUAUUAUUAUAAUCCCAUGGCUCCUAUUUAUGCUAUUGUUUCAUUUUUAGCUUUGAUGUAUAGUUACUUGAAUAUAUUUAUUAGUAGCUGGAAUAUUGUGCAUGAUGAAAUUAAAGGAAGGGAAAUUCAUCACUCCUUUCCUAUGACACUUUUUUCAGGUAUGGCUUGCUUUUUUUUGGUGAAUGACAUAAGUUUAAGAGCAUGCAGAAAAGGGAGAAGACAAAUGAAGAGAAAAUGUUUAAAAGGAAGGGGAUAUAUUUUGUUGCAGCACAAUUGGUUGCAGUUGCUAUUUUUCUCACACUUAUGAUGUCAUUUGAUUUUGCUGAAGUGGAGCUAGAAAAUGUUGAUGGAGGGGAUGAAUAAUGAUCCACUGAUUUGCUUAUCUUCUUCUCAAUUACAAAGCCAAGUCUGAUUAAAACAAAUUUCUCAUACUUUUUUUUUACUAUGUGGAGAAAAUUAACAUUCUUUAAAUAGUAUGC